This 490-nucleotide ribosomal RNA is filed under the name uncultured bacterium. RNAcentral's name for it is "partial 16S ribosomal RNA". It matches the Rfam family "Bacterial small subunit ribosomal RNA", at positions 30 to 507 of the family's 1533-position model. The record is from RNAcentral.
AUUGAACGCUGGCGGCAGGCUUAACACAUGCAAGUCGAGCGGUAGCACAGGGGAGCUUGCUCCCUGGGUGGCGAGCGGCGGACGGGUGAGUAAUGUCUGGGAAACUGCCUGAUGGAGGGGGAUAACUACUGGAAACGGUAGCUAAUACCGCAUAACGUCGCAAGACCAAAGAGGGGGACCUUCGGGCCUCUUGCCAUCAGAUGUGCCCAGAUGGGAUUAGCUAGUAGGUGGGGUAAUGGCUCACCUAGGUGACGAUCCCUAGCUGGUCUGAGAGGAUGACCAGCCACACUGGAACUGAGACACGGUCCAGACGCCUACGGGAGGCAGCAGUGGGGAAUAUGGCACAAUGGGCGCGAGCCUGAUGCAGCCAUGCCGCGUGUGUGAAGAAGGCCUUCGGGGUGUAAAGCACUUUCAGCGAGGAGGAAGGUGGUGAGCUUAAUACGUUCAUCAAUUGACGUUACUCGCAGAAGAAGCACCGGCUAACUCCGUG